AUUGAACGCUGGCGGCAUGCCUUACACAUGCAAGUCGAACGGUAACAGGUCUUCGGAUGCUGACGAGUGGCGCACGGGUGAGUAAUACAUCGGAACGUGCCCGAUCGUGGGGGAUAACGAGGCGAAAGCUUUGCUAAUACCGCAUACGAUCUACGGAUGAAAGCGGGGGAUCUUCGGACCUCGCGCGGCCGGAGCGGCCGAUGGCAGAUUAGGUAGUUGGUGGGAUAAAAGCUUACCAAGCCGACGAUCUGUAGCUGGUCUGAGAGGAUGAUCAGCCACACUGGGACUGAGACACGGCCCAGACUCCUACGGGAGGCAGCAGUGGGGAAUUUUGGACAAUGGGCGAAAGCCUGAUCCAGCCAUGCCGCGUGAAGGAUGAAGGCCUUCGGGUUGUAAACUGCUUUUGUACGGAGCGAAAAGCCUCUUUCUAAUAAAGAGGGGUCAUGACGGUACCGGAAGAAUAAGCACCGGCUAACUACGUG
Molecule: ribosomal RNA, 482 nt
Filed under: uncultured bacterium
Lineage: Bacteria
Description: partial 16S ribosomal RNA
Rfam family: Bacterial small subunit ribosomal RNA
Source: RNAcentral